UAACCAUUCAAAAGGGUUGCUUUCAAAUCUUUCCCGAAACUGAAAGUUCUUCUCCAUCUCUCUCUCUCUCUCUCUCUCUCUCUCUCUCUCCCUCUCUCUCUUCAGGAAAUGGUUUUGAGACAUUGGAGAUUAUUAUCAUCACCUCUCGUGAUCAUCUGCUUCGUUGUUCUGAUCUCAACGCUAAUCUUAAAUCACUGCGAAGCUUCGAGGGCGGCGACAUUCUUCUUCACAAACCCUAAUCAUCAAAACCCUCGAGGACACUUCAUGGGAUUGUUGCCCAAACAUUUCCCCGUUCCGGCCUCUGCUCCUUCGAGAAAACACAACGAGAUCGGCCUUCAAUACUUCCUCUCUCCAUGAAGUGUAGGGGAAAGAGAUUAUGUCACUAGGGUUUGAACAGAAGCUUGCCUGCUUCGAUUUCUUGUCGGCUUUCUUCCGAUUAUGUAACUUUGUAAGAGUUUUACACUCUCUUUGUACAUGUAAAAGGAUCAAGAUACGCGCAAAA
Molecule: long non-coding RNA, 502 nt
Organism: Tarenaya hassleriana
Lineage: Eukaryota; Viridiplantae; Streptophyta; Magnoliopsida; Brassicales; Cleomaceae
Exons: 2
Source: RefSeq, a predicted model, not a curated record